Molecule: ribosomal RNA, 395 nt
Filed under: uncultured bacterium
Lineage: Bacteria
Description: partial 16S ribosomal RNA
Rfam family: Bacterial small subunit ribosomal RNA
Source: RNAcentral
UGGGGAAUAUUGCACAAUGGGCGAAAGCCUGAUGCAGCGACGCCGCGUGCGGGAUGAAGGCCUUCGGGUUGUAAACCGCUUUUAAUUGGGAGCAAGCGAGAGUGAGUGUACCUUUUGAAUAAGCACCGGCUAACUACGUGCCAGCAGCCGCGGUAAUACGUAGGGUGCAAGCGUUAUCCGGAAUUAUUGGGCGUAAAGAGCUCGUAGGCGGUUUGUCACGCCUGGUGUGAAAGUCCAUCGCUUAACGGUGGAUCUGCGCCGGGUACGGGCAGGCUAGAGUGCAGUAGGGGAGAUUGGAAUUCCCGGUGUAACGGUGGAAUGUGUAGAUAUCGGGAAGAACACCAAUGGCGAAGGCAGAUCUCUGGGCUGUUACUGACGCUGAGGAGCGAAAGCAU